GACGAACGCUGGCGGCGUGCUUAACACAUGCAAGUCGAACGGAAAGGCCCUGCUUUUGUGGGGUGCUCGAGUGGCGAACGGGUGAGUAACACGUGAGUAACCUGCCCUUGACUUUGGGAUAACUUCAGGAAACUGGGGCUAAUACCGGAUAGGAGCUCCUGCUGCAUGGUGGGGGUUGGAAAGUUUCGGCGGUUGGGGAUGGACUCGCGGCUUAUCAGCUUGUUGGUGGGGUAGUGGCUUACCAAGGCUUUGACGGGUAGCCGGCCUGAGAGGGUGACCGGCCACAUUAGGACUGAGAGACGGACCAGACGGGUACGGGAGGCAGCAGGGGGGAGUAUGGCACAGUGGGCGGAAGCCUGAGGCAGCAGCGCCGGGUGCGGGAUGACGGCCUUCGGGUUGUAAACCGCUUUCGCCUGUGACGAAGCGGGAGUGACGGUAAUGGGUAAAGAAGCACCGGCUAACUACGUG
RNAcentral lists this ribosomal RNA (468 nucleotides) under uncultured bacterium. Its description in RNAcentral is "partial 16S ribosomal RNA". It matches the Rfam family "Bacterial small subunit ribosomal RNA", at positions 28 to 507 of the family's 1533-position model. The record is from RNAcentral.